Molecule: ribosomal RNA, 253 nt
Filed under: uncultured bacterium
Lineage: Bacteria
Description: partial 16S ribosomal RNA
Rfam family: Bacterial small subunit ribosomal RNA
Source: RNAcentral
UACGUAGGGGGCGAGCGUUGUCCGGAAUUAUUGGGCGUAAAGCGCGUGUAGGCGGUCCGGUAAGUCCGCUGUGAAAGUCGAGGGCUCAACCCUCGAAUGCCGGUGGAUACUGUCGGGCUAGAGUGCGGAAGAGGCGAGUGGAAUUCCUGGUGUAGCGGUGAAAUGCGCAGAUAUCAGGAGGAACACCUAUUGCGAAGGCAGUUCGCUGGGACGUUACUGACGCUGAGACGCGAAAGCGUGGGGAGCAAACAGG